UACGUAGGGCGCAAGCGUUGUCCGGAAUCACUGGGCGUAAAGGGCGCGUAGGUGGCGACCCAAGUCGAUGGUGAAAGCUCGCCGCUCAACGGCGAGUCGGCCACUGAUACUGGGUUGCUGGAGCACUGUAGAGGCAGAUGGAAUUCCGGGUGUAGCGGUGGAAUGCGUAGAGAUCCGGAAGAACACCGGAGGCGAAGGCGGCUUGCUGGGCUCGGUCUGACGCUGAGGCGCGAAAGCGUGGGGAGCGAACAGG
This 253-nucleotide ribosomal RNA is filed under the name uncultured bacterium. RNAcentral's name for it is "partial 16S ribosomal RNA". It matches the Rfam family "Bacterial small subunit ribosomal RNA", at positions 524 to 776 of the family's 1533-position model. The record is from RNAcentral.